Molecule: ribosomal RNA, 462 nt
Filed under: uncultured bacterium
Lineage: Bacteria
Description: SSU rRNA
Rfam family: Bacterial small subunit ribosomal RNA
Source: RNAcentral
AGAAUCAACGCUGGCGGCGUGCCUAACACAUGCAAGUCGAACGAGAAAGUGGAGCAAUCCAUGAGUACAGUGGCGUACGGGUGAGUAACACGUGACUAACCUACCCUCGAGUGGGGAAUAAACCUCGGGAAACCGGGGCUAAUACCGCAUAACAUCUUCGGAUCAAAUGCGUAAGCAGCUUGAGGAGGGGGUCGCGGCCGAUUAGCUAGUUGGCGGGGUAAUGGCCCACCAAGGCAAUGAUCGGUAGCCGGCCUGAGAGGGCGCACGGCCACACUGGAACUGAAACACGGUCCAGACUCCUACGGGAGGCAGCAGUGGGGAAUUUUGCGCAAUGGGGGGAAACCCUGACGCAGCAACGCCGCGUGGAGGAUGAAGCCCCUUGGGGUGUAAACUCCUUUCGAUCGGGACGAUUAUGACGGUACCGGAUGAAGAAGCACCGGCUAACUCUGCGCCAGCAGCCGC